UGGCAUUGUCUUAAGUACUACUCAAAC
This 27-nucleotide non-coding RNA is filed under the name Mus musculus (house mouse). The record is from RNAcentral. Lineage: Eukaryota; Metazoa; Chordata; Mammalia; Rodentia; Muridae.